RNAcentral lists this long non-coding RNA (902 nucleotides) under Pan paniscus (pygmy chimpanzee). RNAcentral's name for it is "lncRNA (ENSPPAG00000045204.1)". The record is from RNAcentral. Lineage: Eukaryota; Metazoa; Chordata; Mammalia; Primates; Hominidae.
AAAAUAGGGUUUGCUUAUUUCUUUCCUUUGCAAUAAACAAUUUUCAACAGUAUAAUAGCUUAAAUAGGUGAUUGUGAUGUCACCCUUAGGAUAUAAUCACUGCUUGUCACAUCGUUUCUGUAGAAAAACCAACUCACAUAGGAUGAAAUGUGAUGGGGUGAAAUCAUGGCAGUGUGAUUUUCAAACACCAACUUGCCUUGGAAGGGAAUGUGGGGAUGUGCACUGCUGGAAGCCAUGUGUUCUGAUAUGAGAAGAACUUCUUCAGAAGGUAUCUUAAUGCAUAUGGGGAAACUGAGGCCCAGAUUGCACAUACAUGAGUUGCCCUGGAGAAUCCCAAGUCAAAGAAGCUGCACUGCAGGAAAUCAAUAUGGUGCAGGCCCCAGGCAAGGCAUCACUGACUACACUUGCAAGAAACAAACGCCUGCAAAAAUCAGGACAGGAUGAUUUUGAAGCUGUGCAAAACAGACAUGGCAUAGGAGACACAGCAAUAACUAAGGGGCAACUAUUGCAUCCAGGAAAAAAAAAAGAAGAUAAUGACUUCUCUGCAACUAAGAUGAAGAUCCACUGAACUUUGGGGUUUGAAAUGCAACGUUAGAACUUCAGACUCCCGGCACCUAGGUCUCCAGAUGCUGGGUGGUGCCAGCAUCAGAGAUUCACUCUGCAAAACAUAUACUGUCUUAGGAAAAAGUGACCCUGUUGUCCUUUCAGGCCCAUAUUCCACAGAAGACAAAUGGAGAUGUAAAAGGAAAACUGCAGCUCUGAGUUAAGAGAGAGCAAGUUGUCUGUUCUGAUACAGCCAGGAAAUAAGAUGUUCUGGUUAAUAUGUGCUAAAGAUGUGGUGCUGACUUUCCGACUCAGAAUAUGAUCACAUGUUUUUCUCAUUAAAACUAUAUUGAAUGUUA